RNAcentral lists this ribosomal RNA (817 nucleotides) under Leopardus pardalis (ocelot). RNAcentral's name for it is "partial 16S ribosomal RNA". The stretch from base 157 to 817 matches the Rfam family "Bacterial large subunit ribosomal RNA", at positions 569 to 1721 of the family's 2925-position model. Lineage: Eukaryota; Metazoa; Chordata; Mammalia; Carnivora; Felidae. The record is from RNAcentral.
AAAGCUAGCCCAAACACCCACAAACCCAACUAACACUAGAAAAUAAAACAAAACAUUUAAUUACUUUAUAAAAGUAUAGGAGAUAGAAAUUUAACUUGGCGCUAUAGAGAAAGUACCGCAAGGGAAAGAUGAAAGAUAAAAUUAAAAGCAUCACACAGCAAAGAUUACCCCUUGUACCUUUUGCAUAAUGAAUUAGCUAGAAUGAACCUAGCAAAGAGAACUUCAGCUAGACCCCCCGAAACCAGACGAGCUACCCAUGAACAAUCUAUUACAGGAUGAACUCAUCUAUGUUGCAAAAUAGUGAGAAGAUUUGCGGGUAGAGGUGAAAAGCCUAACGAGCCUGGUGAUAGCUGGUUGCCCAGAACAGAAUCUUAGUUCAACUUUAAACUUGCCUCAAAACCCCCUAAAAUUCCAAUGUAAGUUUAAAAUAUAGUCUAAAAAGGUACAGCUUUUUAGAAUUAGGAUACAGCCUUUAUUAGAGAGUAAGCAUACAACACAAACCAUAGUUGGCUUAAAAGCAGCCAUCAAUUAAGAAAGCGUUCAAGCUCAACAAUCUAAAACAUCUUAAUGUCAAAAAACGCAACUAACUCCUAACUUAAAACUGGGCUAAUCUAUUUAACAAUAGAAGCAAUAAUGCUAAUAUGAGUAACAAGAAAUACUUCUCCCUGCAUAAGCUUAUAUCAGAACGGAUAACCACUGAUAGUUAACGGCAAGAUACAUAUAACCUAACCAUAGAUAAAAUAUCAAACUAACUGUUAACCCAACACAGGCAUGCAAAUUAGGGAAAGAUUAAAAGAAGUAAAAGGAACUCGGCAAA